Molecule: ribosomal RNA, 459 nt
Filed under: uncultured bacterium
Lineage: Bacteria
Description: partial 16S ribosomal RNA
Rfam family: Bacterial small subunit ribosomal RNA
Source: RNAcentral
CCUACGGGAGGCAGCAGUGAGGAAUAUUGGUCAAUGGCCGGAAGGCUGAACCAGCCAAGCAGCGUGAAGGACGAAGGUGCCACGCAUUGUAAACUUCUUUUGUCAAGGGACAAAAUCAGGCUCGAGAGCCUGACCGAGGGUACUUGAAGAAAAAGCAUCGGCUAACUCCGUGCCAGCAGCCGCGGUAAUACGGAGGAUGCGGGCGUUAUCCGGAUUUAUUGGGUUUAAAGGGGGCGUAGGCGGCAUGUUAAGUCAGCGGUAAAAGCCCGGGGCUAAACCCCGGCGAGCCGUGGAAACUGGCGUGCUUGAGAUGUCGGGAGGCAUGCGGAAUGCGCAGUGUAGCGGUGAAAUGCUUAGAUAUUGCGCAGAACUCCGAGUGCGAAGGCAGCAUACCGGCGGCGAUCUGACGCUGAGGCUCGAAAGCGUGGGUAUCGAACAGGAUUAGAUACCCUGGUAGUC